CACGUAGUUAGCCGUGGCUUCCUCUGCAGGUACCGUCCUUCCUCUUCCCUGCUAACAGAGCUUUACAAUCCGAAAACCUUCUUCACUCACGCGGCGUUGCUGCAUCAGGGUUUCCCCCAUUGUGCAAUAUUCCCCACUGCUGCCUCCCGUAGGAGUAUGGACCGUGUCUCAGUUCCAUUGUGGCCGUUCAUCCUCUCAGACCGGCUACACAUCGUCGCCUAGGUAAGCCUUUACCUCACCUACUAGCUAAUGUGCCGCAGACUCCUCCUAUACCAAUAAAUCUUUCACUACAUAAUCAUGCAACUAUAUAGCUAUAUGCGGUAUUAAUCCAACUUUCAUCGGGCUAUCCCCCAGUAUAGGAUAGAUUAUCUACGUGUUACUCACCCGUUCGCUGCUAAGUUAUAUAAAGCAAGCUCCAUAUAUCUCCGCUCAACUUGCAUGUGUUAGGCACGCCCGCCAGCGUUCGUCCGUUCGACGUCCACGGAGUCUAAAA
This 493-nucleotide ribosomal RNA is filed under the name uncultured Bacillota bacterium. RNAcentral's name for it is "uncultured Firmicutes bacterium partial 16S ribosomal RNA". The record is from RNAcentral. Lineage: Bacteria; Bacillati; Bacillota.